RNAcentral lists this ribosomal RNA (439 nucleotides) under uncultured bacterium. Its description in RNAcentral is "partial 16S ribosomal RNA". It matches the Rfam family "Bacterial small subunit ribosomal RNA", at positions 339 to 795 of the family's 1533-position model. The record is from RNAcentral.
CUACGGGCGGCAGCAGUGGGGAAUAUUGGACAAUGGGCGCAAGCCUGAUCCAGCCAUGCCGCGUGAGUGACGAAGGCCUUAGGGUUGUAAAGCUCUUUUGGCGGGGACGAUAAUGACGGUACCCGCAGAAUAAGCUCCGGCUAACUUCGUGCCAGCAGCCGCGGUAAUACGAAGGGAGCUAGCGUUGUUCGGAAUCACUGGGCGUAAAGCGCACGUAGGCGGAUUUGUUAGUCAGGGGUGAAAUCCCGGGGCUCAACCUCGGAACUGCCUUUGAUACUGCAAAUCUCGAGUCCGAGAGAGGUGGGUGGAAUUCCUAGUGUAGAGGUGAAAUUCGUAGAUAUUAGGAAGAACACCGGUGGCGAAGGCGGCCCACUGGCUCGGUACUGACGCUGAGGUGCGAAAGCGUGGGGAGCAAACAGGAUUAGAUACCCGCGUAGUC